This 929-nucleotide long non-coding RNA is filed under the name Pan troglodytes (chimpanzee). RNAcentral describes it as "long non-coding RNA NONPTRT008232". The record is from RNAcentral. Lineage: Eukaryota; Metazoa; Chordata; Mammalia; Primates; Hominidae.
AAGACCCUGUCUCAAAAAACAAAAAAGCAAAAAAAAAAAAAAAACAAAAAACAAAACCUACAUGGUCAGGUACAGUGACUACGCCCAUAAUCCCAGCACUUUGGGAGGCCAAGGUAGGUCGAUCACUUAGCCCAGGAGUUCAACAGCCUGGGCAACAUAGUGAGAGACCCCCACCAAUAUGUACAAAACAAACAAACCCAAAACAACUGAAGGAACAGCUACAGCAUAAAAAGUCAUCAUCAUAACUAGUUUGUGGAGAAAUGGCUACAGGUGAUCCCUUCCUGCUCCCUCACCCCAGGUCCAAUCUAUACCAGUUCCUGUUGACGUCAUCUACUGAAUCUCAUCACUUCCCCCCAUCUGCUAUGCCACCAGUCCUGCUUAGAGUCAACGUCAUCCCAUUUUGCCGAUAAGCAUUUUGCUGAUCUUCAAUUUUAGCCUGCUGGGUGUGGAGGAUUCCAACCCAAUUAACAGACAAGGAAGCUGAAGGAGCAGGAGCGUCUACACUCUAGCUGUCAGGAUGCUAUGGGAUACAGCAGAGAAUAAAAGGGACAAAGCCUCGACUUUCAUGGAUCUUACAUCCUGGUGCGGGAGCCAGAUAGCAAGUAAGUCUAUACCAUCAUGUCAGCAAGUGAUAAAGACUGAAGAACAAUCAGCAAGUGAUAAAGACAGGAACAAUUAAUGGGAGGGGGAGGUUUGAGAGGGAGGGAUGGGGCUGCCAUUUUACCUUGGCUGGGCAGGGAGAAUCUGUCUGAGGAAAGGUCAUUUGGGCUGUUGGAAGGUCUAUGGGAAAAGCAUUUUGAGCAAAGGGAACAGCAGGUGUCGAGAAGAUUGUGCUUGGUGCUUUUAGGGAACAUUAGGAGGCCAGCGAGCCUGGGUUGGAGUGAGGCCGAGCAAGUAGAGGGCUCUGAGGUGGGAGAGGUGAGGGGGUG